ACAGAUUUCGACGCGGAAUGUGGAGUGCGCGCUGCAUGCCGACCCGUCAUCGAGUCGUAAAACCGAUGGCACAACACUGAAAUGCCGAGCCUAUGGCUCUUGCUGCCUAAUAUAGGGUAGCACGUCGACCGGCUGACGCCCGCUGGGCCGGAAGACGCCGCUAGCGGGCUGGCCGUCCCGAGUCCUCCCCGGCGAGGGGCGGCGAGACACAGCGGGGAUAGCUUGAGGGGGAUCCUUUCCCCGGGAGCCUUCUCGAGCGAAACUCAAAACAGGGAAUAAGCAUGUAGAUGCGUUCACAAAGCCUCCGCGGACGAGGGU
This 318-nucleotide transfer-messenger RNA is filed under the name Pseudomonadota bacterium. RNAcentral's name for it is "Proteobacteria bacterium (freshwater sediment metagenome) transfer-messenger RNA". It matches the Rfam family "transfer-messenger RNA". From Rfam's summary of the family: Bacterial tmRNA, also known as 10Sa RNA or SsrA, is named for its dual tRNA and mRNA-like properties. Its role is to liberate the mRNA from a stalled ribosome. The record is from RNAcentral. Lineage: Bacteria; Pseudomonadati; Pseudomonadota.